This 371-nucleotide transfer-messenger RNA is filed under the name human gut metagenome. It matches the Rfam family "transfer-messenger RNA". Rfam says of the family: Bacterial tmRNA, also known as 10Sa RNA or SsrA, is named for its dual tRNA and mRNA-like properties. Its role is to liberate the mRNA from a stalled ribosome. The record is from RNAcentral.
GGGGAUGUUUUAGAUUCGCCCGUCAAAUUUGAUGGAUUGGUAAGCGUGUCACAGUCGCCCGAGCUGUGUAAAAAACGAGCAAAAAAAUUAAACGCAGAAAAUAACAAUUCUGUAGCCAACUAUCGUUUGGCUCUUGCCGCUUAAGUUUAGCGACACGUCACCCUUGUAUACCUCAUAACAAGCAAGUGGCGUCAUUUAUGAGGUAAAGGGACUUUGAGCGUUGUCCGACUCAACGUCGCCACGUAGGACAUUACUUGCUUUUUGGUCUGUUUGCCGACUCAAAAGCAAGGACGUUAAAAGACAAACUACACACGUAGAAAACCUUUUGGUCUUUUGGCGGUACAGGGGUGCAAGUCCCCUCAUCUCCACCA